This 517-nucleotide ribosomal RNA is filed under the name uncultured bacterium. RNAcentral's name for it is "bacterial SSU rRNA". It matches the Rfam family "Bacterial small subunit ribosomal RNA", at positions 109 to 659 of the family's 1533-position model. The record is from RNAcentral.
AGUAACACGUGAAUCAUCUACCUCCGAGUGGGGAAUAACCUAGAGAAAUCUGGGCUAAUACCGCAUAACACUUACGAGUCAAAGCAGCAAUGCGCUUGGAGAGGAGUUCGCGGCAGAUUAGUUAGUUGGCGGGGUAAUGGCCCACCAAGACGAUGAUCUGUAUCCGGCCUGAGAGGGCGCACGGACACACUGGAACUGAAACACGGUCCAGACUCCUACGGGAGGCAGCAGUGGGGAAUUUUGCGCAAUGGGGGAAACCCUGACGCAGCAACGCCGCGUGGAGGAUGAAAUAUCUUGGUAUGUAAACUCCUUUCGAUGGGGAAGAUAAUGACGGUACCCAUAGAAGAAGCCCCGGCUAACUUCGUGCCAGCAGCCGCGGUAAUACGAGGGGGGCAAGCGUUGUUCGGAAUUAUUGGGCGUAAAGGGUGCGUAGGCGGUUUGACAAGUCUUAUGUGAAAUCUAUGGGCUCAACCAUAGUCUGCAUGGGAAACUGUCGGGCUUGAGUAUUGGAGAGGUG